RNAcentral lists this ribosomal RNA (502 nucleotides) under uncultured bacterium. RNAcentral describes it as "partial 16S ribosomal RNA". It matches the Rfam family "Bacterial small subunit ribosomal RNA", at positions 28 to 507 of the family's 1533-position model. The record is from RNAcentral.
GACGAACGCUGGCGGCGUGCCUAAUACAUGCAAGUCGAACGAACCGCGACUAAGUGCUUGCACGAAGUCAAGGUGAGUGGCGAACGGGUGAGUAACACGUGGGUAACCUACAUUAUAGUGGGGGGUAACAGUCGGAAACGACUGCUAAUACCGCAAAGGACAUAGGAUCACAUGAUCCAGCGAGGAAAGCUGGCGCAAGCAAUCGCUAAGAGAUGGACCCGCGGUGCAUUAGCUAGUUGGUAGGGUAAAGGCCUACCAAGGCGAUGAUGCAUAGCCGACCUGAGAGGAUGAUCAGCCACAUUGGGACUGAGACACGGCCCAGACUCCUACGGGAGGCAGCAGUGGGGAAUCUUCCACAAUGGGCGCAAGUCUGACGGAGCAACGCCGCGUGAGUGAAGAAGGUCUUCGGAUCGUAAAGCGCUGUUGUUAGGGAAGAACAGCGCAUGGAGAAACUGCUAUGCGUGUGACGGUAUCUAAAGAGAAAGCCACGGCUAACUACGUG